Pseudophryne corroboree (corroboree frog) is the source of this 702-nucleotide long non-coding RNA. RefSeq lists it as uncharacterized. The transcript is spliced from 3 exons. The record is from RefSeq and is a predicted model, not a curated record. Lineage: Eukaryota; Metazoa; Chordata; Amphibia; Anura; Myobatrachidae.
UUCCACAAGCCAGGCAGCCUGCCCGCAUCCACACCUACCCUCCCUCCUGCCCGCCACGCUCCCGCAUCCACACCUGCCCUGCCUCCUGCCCGCCACCCUCCCGCAUCCGCACCUGCCGCCCGCAUGCAGGCACCCACAGCUGUCCGCCUGCUGCUCAGUGCUCACAGCACUGUAUGCAACCCCCGCCAUUGAGGGACAGACAAGGAGGAGGACAGAUGACGCUGACGGAUGGAUAGAGGACCAUCACAAUACUGUACAGAAAAGGUUAGCACCAGCCCUGACAGCAUGUAUUGCACACUGUGAGCCGAGAACCAGUUUUCAUAUAGGAAAAGGAAAAUGUCAGCUACCUAAAGAGUGGAGAAAUACAGCUUGGAAGAGGAGAGUGCAUGGGGCAGCAGAAACUAAAUCUCAGAUAUUAUGGAAAUAAUCCAUGGAAGACCUUCUCUUCUGAGUCACUGCAGUGGUGGUAAUGACAAAGAGACACUUAUGAGUUAGGAAGUUUAUAAGUCAGACAGACGCGUCCAAAUCCAAGGUAAAGUUGCUAUAAGUGGUCAGAGAUUCAUGAAAUAUGGGCUGUGUCCGGGCUACUGAUGUUUACCGUGAUGCUGUUAUUACCUCGCCAAGAUUCCAUUUUCCAAGACGGAGCAGACUGGACCUUCUCUCUCUCUGACUAAUCAUAAACCUGACCUGAUGGCACAAUAA